This 85-nucleotide transfer RNA is filed under the name Felis catus (domestic cat). It matches the Rfam family "tRNA". Rfam says of the family: Transfer RNA (tRNA) molecules are approximately 80 nucleotides in length. Their secondary structure includes four short double-helical elements and three loops (D, anti-codon, and T loops). The record is from Rfam by way of RNAcentral. Lineage: Eukaryota; Metazoa; Chordata; Mammalia; Carnivora; Felidae.
GCUUGGGUAGCUGAGUCAGUUAAGCAUCUGACUUCGGCUCAGGUCAUGAGCUCACAUUUUGUGGGUUCAAGCCCCACAUUGGGCU